Molecule: ribosomal RNA, 119 nt
Filed under: Lepisosteus oculatus (spotted gar)
Lineage: Eukaryota; Metazoa; Chordata; Actinopteri; Semionotiformes; Lepisosteidae
Source: RNAcentral
UCCAACAGCCAUAUCACCCUGCAACUCACAACUGGCAACCCACUGAAGCUAAGCAGGUGUGAGCUGGGUCAGUACCUGGAUGCGAGACCUCCAGGGAAAAAUGUAGGUUGCUGCUGGAA